This 377-nucleotide ribosomal RNA is filed under the name uncultured bacterium. RNAcentral's name for it is "bacterial SSU rRNA". It matches the Rfam family "Bacterial small subunit ribosomal RNA", at positions 521 to 896 of the family's 1533-position model. The record is from RNAcentral.
UAAUACAGAGGGUGCAAGCGUUAAUCGGAGUUACUGGGCGUAAAGGGCGCGUAGGCGGAUUUGCAAGUGAGAUGUGAAAUCCCUGGGCUUAACCUAGGAAUUGCAUUUUAGACUGUGAGUCUGGAGUACAGUAGAGGGUGGUGGAAUUUCCGGUGUAGCGGUGAAAUGCGUAGAGAUCGGAAGGAACAUCAGUGGCGAAGGCGACCACCUGGACUGUAACUGACGCUGAGGCGCGAAAGCGUGGGUAGCAAACAGGAUUAGAUACCCUGGUAGUCCACGCUGUAAACGAUGAGAACUAGAUGUUGGUCUGCGCGAGCGGAUUAGUAUCGAAGCUAACGCGAUAAGUUCUCCGCCUGGGGAGUACGGCCGCAAGGUUA